Astatotilapia calliptera (eastern happy) is the source of this 355-nucleotide long non-coding RNA. NCBI's taxonomy places the organism in Eukaryota, Metazoa, Chordata, Actinopteri, Cichliformes, Cichlidae. The record is from Ensembl.
GGAAGUCUUUAGGACCCAGGGGACCCAAUGGAGGGUAUAAAAGAGGAAGUAGCAGCAGGUGCUCUUCAUUUCCACUGACGAGCGGCUGUGAACAAUGGUUGUGUGAGUAGGUGAAGAGCCUGAGAAGUUUUAAUUGUCUGCUACACAAACAGUUGUUGUAAACCUCUACAGCAGAGGUUCGAGGCUGUUUUUCUUUUAGUGUUUUUUUUUAAAUUUGUUGAAAUGUAUUUGAUGUUUAUUGUAUUUUAUGUUUUAGUAGUGAUUUUCACAAGAUAAGCCAAGAUAAGCCAGGUGUGCAGCAAACACAGUUGUCUGCUGGAGGUAUGUUAACUUAAUAUAUUUGACAUUAAAAAAA